Pantoea ananatis LMG 20103 is the source of this 129-nucleotide regulatory RNA element. It matches the Rfam family "RtT RNA". Rfam says of the family: This family represents a bacterial cis-regulatory element known as RtT RNA. The exact function of RtT is unknown although it is thought that it may be involved in changing the cellular response in relation to amino acid starvation. The record is from Rfam. Lineage: Bacteria; Pseudomonadati; Pseudomonadota; Gammaproteobacteria; Enterobacterales; Erwiniaceae.
UUUUCGCCUGAAUAAAAGAGGAUGAGAACCUCCGAAAGGAGGGUUGCGCCGAGCGCAGCGAGACAACGUUGCGAACGCAACGGCCCGAAGGGGACUUACGCAGUAAGCCUAAUCCUCUCUCGCCGACCA